This 501-nucleotide ribosomal RNA is filed under the name uncultured organism. RNAcentral's name for it is "bacterial SSU rRNA". It matches the Rfam family "Bacterial small subunit ribosomal RNA", at positions 29 to 507 of the family's 1533-position model. The record is from RNAcentral.
AGCGAACGUUAGCGGCGGGCUUAACACAUGCAAGUCGAGCGAGAAAGCGGCUUCGGCCGUGAGUACAGCGGCGGACGGGUGAGUAACACGUGGAUAAUCUACCUUGCUGCGGGGGACAACAGUCCGAAAGGAUUGCUAAUACCGCAUACGUCGGCUGGGGCAUCGGCUCUGGUCGGGAAAGCAGCCCUCUCCAUGGAAGGUUGCACAGCAAGAUGAGUCCGCGUCCCAUCAGCUAGUUGGUAGGGUAAUGGCCUACCAAGGCAUAGACGGGUAGCUGGUCUGAGAGGAUGAUCAGCCACACUGGAACUGAGACACGGUCCAGACUCCUACGGGAGGCAGCAGUGGGGAAUAUUGGGCAAUGGGCGGAAGCCUGACCCAGCCACGCCGCGUGAGUGAUGAAGGCCUUCGGGUCGUAAAGCUCUGUGGGGAGGGAAGAAAAAGCGCCGCCUAAUACGCGGUGAACUGACGGUACCUCCUUAGCAAGCACCGGCUAACUCUGUG